UUUUGAUUAUGUAUUAAUUCAAUAUGCUUCUAGUUUUCAAAAUUAUAUAAAAUGGCAUAUAUAGAGAAUUGCCACUCAAUCUUCUCUUUUCCCAUAUUAUUCUCACUUCUUGCCUGUGGUUAACUAGUUUCACUAGAUUCUGGUUAUCCUUAUGUUUAUUUUUAGAAACUAUAUAAGUUAUGUAAGUUAUAUAAUAAUUACUUGAGUUUUCCUUUUAAAUUUUUCCUGAUAAUCCAUAUUGGGCCAUAGAGAUCACCUUUAUUACUUCUGGCAUAGUAAUUCAUUGUGUAUAUAUAUUAGGUUGAUGCAAAAGUUAUAGCAGAUUUUGCAAUUACUUUAAAUGGCAAAACAGCAAUUACUUUUGCACCAACAUACAUAGUUUAAUCCAGGAGCUACUCAACCUGGGCCUCCUCUCCACUGAGGGCUUCACACUCAACAGGACAACCUGCCUGCAGAGAGGAGCUACCCACUGCAGGUCUCCUCUCAGCUGAGGGCUCCACAGAUGCCAGGAUGACCUGCCUGUGGAAAGCGGCUACCCUUCAGCUCUCCUGAGAGCCGUAGGUAAGUUAGUUUUGCAUAGUUUAUUCAAGCGCUUUUCUAUGUAUGGGCUUUUACAUAGUAUCCAAUAAUUUGUUAUAACAUAAUAUCCCAAUGCAUGCAGGCACACAUAUGUAUUUUCUUGCUGUUGGUGGUAUAUCUUGGAGCCGAAUUCCUAAAGUGAUACUGUUUGGUCAAAAGUUGAAUGUAUGUGUAGAUUGGGGUUAAGAUUGAUAGCUUUCCUUCUAUAGGUGUUGUACCAUUUUGCUUUCCCAUUAGCAAUGUGCAAGAAUGCCAGUUUCCCUGUAGCUCCACAACAGCUUGUGUUACCAAGAUUUUGGAUAUUUAACAAACUUGAAGUGUCUCAUUCCAUCACCCAGGAACACCUUGGCUCAUUGCAACUUCUGACCCGGCCUAGAUUAAAGUAACAAAGCCAUAUUAUUGAGGGAUAGAAGCUAGAAGUAGAGAUAGCUGCUGAAGUAUGACAGGAUGGGAAGGAGCCUGCCUGAGAUAUCAAGAAAGAAUUAACACAGUCAGGUAAGUAGUGAGUCUUUGUCAAAAGAAUUUGAGAGCUUGUCAAGCAGAUGGUUAAUGGGAAAGAUAUUUAAAUGCUAUCUAUGGUCAUAUUGGAUAAAAACCAAGAUGAUCUACUGCCAUAAAAAACAUUUUCAGUAAAGAACUCUCUAGUAUUUAUAGGAACCCAUGAAAUUAGUCCUAUUGAAACUGGGUACUGUAUUGCCAUGCCAUUCACAGUACCAAGAGAGGGACUUGAUACAGGAGGGUAUAAUAAUGCUUUUGACCUAAUCGAUGGAGCAAUAACAUUAUAACAACCAACAAAUCUCCAAAACAUAAACAAGAAAAUAAGGCAAAACCCUGCUUUAUAAGACUUAAACAAUAGCAUAUAAGAAAAAUGUCUCCUCUUACAUUUGUAUUUCGUCUCUAGCUCCUCAUAAACACUGAAGAGUAAAAGAGGAUAGAUAACUUGUAUUUUGUAUGUGGAAUGGCCUGCUGUCCUGAUUCAAAUGCCAACAUUACCAGCCAGUAAUUGUCAUUUCUCUUUGCUGCAGGCAACUCAUGGGAAAUGUCCUCUUUAAGCCUUCUUAGCAUUUCGGUUAUGCUGAUGUCACCAUACUUUUUGCUUUUUCACUAAUGGACUACAAGCUUCAUGAAGGACUCGAGCAUAUCUGAUUUGUUUCUUGUUUGUCAUUCUUUCUCAUAUGUAUAUUUGCAUAUAUUUGAAUGAAUGAAUGGUUAUCAGGUCACUGGCUAUGUAGAAUUGUAGCUCAGGGCUAUUUAAAGGGACAGAUAAUUUAAUGUUCAAAAUUAUUUGUUAGAGCAAAUUUAUUUUGGGAGAGUAUUAUAGCGACAGUGUUCUAGUAACAAACAAUAUGUAAAAACAGUAAAAAAAAGAAAGAUUUUAAUAUCUGUAAGAACGGUAAAAAAAUAUAGAUUUCAAUAUCUUUUAAGAGAUGAACAAACUAUUCAAUCCCAUUCACUGCAAGAAAAGCAUAGUCAUUUUUUGAUUUUUAUUUACUAAAUAAAACCGCAUCUUAAUUUGCUUUGAGUUUCUGAAUCUUCAACUGCUGUAGUUUGAGGAUCCAAAAUUUUAAUAGCAAAAGUGGCUUAUCUGCACAGACAUGUUCAGAGAACCAAAGAGAAGGAUCAGACACUUUGAAGUCAUAGCAUCCUUUUACACUUAGUUGUACACUAGGGUGUACUAAUCCACAAUUUCUUCUCCUUCUUAAAGAACAAAGAAGCUGACAGAAACAGCUCUCUAGGAUUAGUUCACAAUUACCUUAUUUCUCAGAUGUUUUUUUAAAAAACAGAGUAAAACAUACAUUUCUAAAACACAGAUGGCUAAAAAAGAGAUUAAUCUGUAGAAGUGUAGAGUAAGGAAUUGGCAUUUAUUCCUGUCUUCCAUAGCAUAAUUUCAGGAAAAGCCAAGUAAAUCAUUCAAGGUCUCUUCUGAAGGCCAUUAUAUUUUAAAUAACUGAUUAGGGCCAAGACUCGGUACUUUUAAGAAUCAUGAGAUUCUCAAAAUAUUUUUAAAUGGGUGUGUAUAUCCAGUAAGAGAUAAUGUUAAAAUUAUCCAGACACAAGGUUGUAUCAGUCAAGGUAGAACAUAGGGCUAGCAGGCCACUUCCAAGAGAUAGGAGAUUAAUGAUGGUUAGUAACUGUAAGUUUUGAUGGUUGAGUAAAAAGGCCAAGUUAUGUGAAAAUCACAAUCAAGCCUGGGGUUCUGAGUUUUUGGUUGGGUUUUAGAAACUAAAGUGGCGAAAAGC
Molecule: long non-coding RNA, 2819 nt
Organism: Callithrix jacchus (white-tufted-ear marmoset)
Lineage: Eukaryota; Metazoa; Chordata; Mammalia; Primates; Cebidae
Source: Ensembl